GCUCGGGUGGCGGAACAGGCAGACGCAGCGGACUCAAAAUCCGCCGGUGGUGACACCAUAGGAGUUCGAUUCUCCUCCCGAGCACCA
RNAcentral lists this transfer RNA (87 nucleotides) under Nitrospiraceae bacterium. RNAcentral describes it as "tRNA-Leu". It matches the Rfam family "tRNA". Rfam says of the family: Transfer RNA (tRNA) molecules are approximately 80 nucleotides in length. Lineage: Bacteria; Pseudomonadati; Nitrospirota; Nitrospiria; Nitrospirales; Nitrospiraceae. The record is from RNAcentral.